Podarcis lilfordi (Lilford's wall lizard) is the source of this 82-nucleotide non-coding RNA. The record is from the annotation of a GenBank genome assembly. Lineage: Eukaryota; Metazoa; Chordata; Lepidosauria; Squamata; Lacertidae.
GCCUCAAGGCAUAUGAUAGCUCAGUUGGUACAGCAUGAAACUCUUAAUCUCAGGGUCUUGGGUUCAAGCCCCAUGCUGGGCA